This 153-nucleotide ribosomal RNA is filed under the name Verrucaria saanaensis. Its description in RNAcentral is "5.8S ribosomal RNA". It matches the Rfam family "5.8S ribosomal RNA". Rfam says of the family: 5.8S ribosomal RNA (5.8S rRNA) is a component of the large subunit of the eukaryotic ribosome. It is transcribed by RNA polymerase I as part of the 45S precursor that also contains 18S and 28S rRNA. The record is from RNAcentral. Lineage: Eukaryota; Fungi; Ascomycota; Eurotiomycetes; Verrucariales; Verrucariaceae.
AACAAUUAAAACUUUCAACAACGGAUCUCUUGGUUCUGGCAUCGAUGAAGAACGCAGCGAAAUGCGAUAAGUAAUGCGAAUUGCAGAAUUCCGUGAGUCAUCGAAUCUUUGAACGCACAUUGCGCCCUUUGGUAUUCCGAAGGGCAUGCCUGU